GCCUCACCUCCCCCCUCAGCACCUCAUCCAACACAGCCCUGACAGCCCUCACGCCAGGGGAAAGAAUCACACUCACAGGUGAACAUAGGCAGGAAAUUUG
Molecule: non-coding RNA, 100 nt
Organism: Chelonoidis abingdonii (Abingdon island giant tortoise)
Lineage: Eukaryota; Metazoa; Chordata; Testudines; Testudinidae
Source: RefSeq, a predicted model, not a curated record